This 253-nucleotide ribosomal RNA is filed under the name uncultured bacterium. RNAcentral describes it as "partial 16S ribosomal RNA". It matches the Rfam family "Bacterial small subunit ribosomal RNA", at positions 524 to 776 of the family's 1533-position model. The record is from RNAcentral.
UACGUAGGGUGCGAGCGUUAAUCGGAAUUACUGGGCGUAAAGCGUGCGCAGGCGGUUUUGUAAGCCAGAUGUGAAAGCCCCGGGCUCAACCUGGGAAUGGCAUUUGGGACUGCAAGGCUUGAGUGCGGCAGAGGAGACUGGAAUUCCUGGUGUAGCAGUGAAAUGCGUAGAUAUCAGGAGGAACACCGGUGGCGAAGGCGGCGUUCUGGACUGUAACUGACACUGAUGAACGAAAGCCAGGGGAGCAAACGGG